RNAcentral lists this transfer RNA (72 nucleotides) under Phycisphaerales bacterium. Its description in RNAcentral is "tRNA-Thr". It matches the Rfam family "tRNA". Rfam says of the family: Transfer RNA (tRNA) molecules are approximately 80 nucleotides in length. Lineage: Bacteria; Pseudomonadati; Planctomycetota; Phycisphaerae; Phycisphaerales. The record is from RNAcentral.
GCCGACGUAGCUCAACGGUAGAGCACGGCUUUCGUAAAGCCGGGGUUGUGGGUUCAAAUCCCAUCUUCGGCU